AUACAUGCAAGUCGAACGCGUCUCCGUUAAUGAUUUUAGGUGCUUGCACUUGAAAGAUUUAACAUUGAGACGAGUGGCGAACUGGUGAGUAACACGUGGGUAACCUGCCCUUGAAGUAGGGGAUAACACUUGGAAACAGGUGCUAAUACCGUAUAACAACCAAAACCACCUGGUUUUGGUUUAAAAGACGGCUUCGGCUGUCACUUUAGGAUGGACCCGCGGCGUAUUAGCUUGUUGGUAAGGUAACGGCUUACCAAGGCGAUGAUACGUAGCCGACCUGAGAGGGUAAUCGGCCACAUUGGGACUGAGACACGGCCCAAACUCCUACGGGAGGCAGCAGUAGGGAAUCUUCCACAAUGGACGAAAGUCUGAUGGAGCAACGCCGCGUGAGUGAUGAAGGGUUUCGGCUCGUAAAACUCUGUUGUUGGAGAAGAACAGGUGUCAGAGUAACUGUUGACAUCUUGACGGUAUCCAACCAGAAAGCCACGGCUAACUACGUGCCAGCAGCCGCGGUAAUACGUAGGUGGCAAGCGUUGUCCGGAUUUAUUGGGCGUAAAGCGAGCGCAGGCGGUUUUUUAGGUCUGAUGUGAAAGCCUUCGGCUUAACCGGAGAAGUGCAUCGGAAACCGGGAGACUUGAGUGCAGAAGAGGACAGUGGAACUCCAUGUGUAGCGGUGAAAUGCGUAGAUAUAUGGAAGAACACCAGU
Molecule: ribosomal RNA, 706 nt
Filed under: Lentilactobacillus buchneri
Lineage: Bacteria; Bacillati; Bacillota; Bacilli; Lactobacillales; Lactobacillaceae
Description: bacterial SSU rRNA
Rfam family: Bacterial small subunit ribosomal RNA
Source: RNAcentral